RNAcentral lists this non-coding RNA (21 nucleotides) under Caenorhabditis elegans. The record is from RNAcentral. Lineage: Eukaryota; Metazoa; Nematoda; Chromadorea; Rhabditida; Rhabditidae.
UGGGAAAAAUCAUUCCAGCGG